AUGUUGCGUGAGAGGUGUGGUCUAGUUGAUAGUGUGUAUGUGGCUGUGGAAGAAAAGGUUGCCAUGUUCUUGUUAGUAGUGGGUCAUGGUCUGAAAAUGAGGUUGCUUCGAGGCACAUACAAGCGGUCUUUGGGAACUAUAAGUACUCACUUUUCCGAAGUGUUAAGAGCCAUUCUAUCUAUGCAUGGGGAGUUCAUUAAGCUUCCAGAUGCUAAUGUUCAACCUCCCGAUGAUUACAAAUGGAAGUGGUUUGGUGGUGCACUAGGAGCAUUAGAUGUCUGUCAUGUAGAUGUUUCUGUUCCCGCUUAUGGAGUUACCCAUGGAGUUUAG
This 330-nucleotide ribosomal RNA is filed under the name Triticum aestivum (bread wheat). RNAcentral's name for it is "partial small subunit ribosomal RNA". The record is from RNAcentral. Lineage: Eukaryota; Viridiplantae; Streptophyta; Magnoliopsida; Poales; Poaceae.